Molecule: ribosomal RNA, 516 nt
Filed under: Cladosporium sp. 2 YHY-2018
Lineage: Eukaryota; Fungi; Ascomycota; Dothideomycetes; Cladosporiales; Cladosporiaceae
Description: partial large subunit ribosomal RNA
Rfam family: Eukaryotic large subunit ribosomal RNA
Source: RNAcentral
UAGUAACGGCGAGUGAAGCAGCAAUAGCUCAAAUUUGAAAUCUGGCGUCUUCGACGUCCGAAUUGUAAUUUGUAGAGGAUGCUUCUGAGUAACCACCGACCUAAGUUCCUUGGAACAGGACGUCAUAGAGGGUGAGAAUCCCGUAUGCGGUCGGAAAGGUGCUCUAUACCUAGCUCCUUCGACGAGUCGAGUUGUUUGGGAAUGCAGCUCUAAAUGGGAGGUAAAUUUCUUCUAAAGCUAAAUAUUGGCCAGAGACCGAUAGCGCACAAGUAGAGUGAUCGAAAGAUGAAAAGCACUUUGGAAAGAGAGUUAAAAAGCACGUGAAAUUGUUAAAAGGGAAGGGAUUGCAACCAGACUUGCUCGCGGUGUUCCGCCGGUCUUCUGACCGGUCUACUCGCCGCGUUGCAGGCCAGCAUCGUCUGGUGCCGCUGGAUAAGACUUGAGGAAUGUAGCUCCCUCGGGAGUGUUAUAGCCUCUUGUGAUGCACCGAGCGCCGGGCGAGGUCCGCGCUUCGGC